RNAcentral lists this ribosomal RNA (584 nucleotides) under uncultured bacterium. RNAcentral describes it as "bacterial SSU rRNA". It matches the Rfam family "Bacterial small subunit ribosomal RNA", at positions 54 to 637 of the family's 1533-position model. The record is from RNAcentral.
CAUGCAAGUCGAGCGAGAAAUUACUCAAUGAAUCUUCGGAAGAAUUGAAUAAUGGAAAGCGGCGGACGGGUGAGUAACGCGUGGGCAACCUGCCUUUCACAGAGGGAUAGCCAAAGGAAACUUUGAUUAAAACCUCAUAAAGCCGAAAUGUUGCAUAGCAAGACGGCCAAAGAUUUAUCGGUGAAAGAUGGGCCCGCGUCUGAUUAGUUAGUUGGUGGGGUAACGGCUCACCAAGGCGACGAUCAGUAGCCGACCUGAGAGGGUGAUCGGCCACAUUGGAACUGAGACACGGUCCAAACUCCUACGGGAGGCAGCAGUGGGGAAUAUUGCACAAUGGGCGCAAGCCUGAUGCAGCAACGCCGCGUGAACGAAGAAGGCCUUCGGGUCGUAAAGUUCUGUCCAUAGGGAAGAAACAAAUGACGGUACCUGUGGAGGAAGCCCCGGCUAAAUACGUGCCAGCGGCCGCGGUAAUACGUAUGGGGCAAGCGUUAUCCGGAAUUAUUGGGCGUAAAGAGUGCGUAGGUGGUGGCUUAAGCGCAGGGUUUAAGGCAAUAGCUUAACUAUUGUUCGCCUUGCGAACUGGG